Molecule: small nuclear RNA, 107 nt
Filed under: Peromyscus maniculatus bairdii (prairie deer mouse)
Lineage: Eukaryota; Metazoa; Chordata; Mammalia; Rodentia; Cricetidae
Source: RNAcentral
GUGCUCUCUUCGGCAGCACAUAUACUAAAACUGGAACAAUACAAAAGAUUAUCAGCAAGGCCUCUGUGCAGGAUGACAUGAAAAUUCAUCAAGUGUUCAGCAUUUUU